RNAcentral lists this transfer RNA (70 nucleotides) under Camelus ferus (Wild Bactrian camel). It matches the Rfam family "tRNA". From Rfam's summary of the family: Transfer RNA (tRNA) molecules are approximately 80 nucleotides in length. Their secondary structure includes four short double-helical elements and three loops (D, anti-codon, and T loops). The record is from Rfam by way of RNAcentral. Lineage: Eukaryota; Metazoa; Chordata; Mammalia; Artiodactyla; Camelidae.
GGGUAUAGCUUAGUGAUAGAUUGCAUGCUUAGCAUGCAUAAGGUCCUGGGUUCAAUCCCCAGUACCUCCA